RNAcentral lists this ribosomal RNA (497 nucleotides) under uncultured bacterium. Its description in RNAcentral is "partial 16S ribosomal RNA". It matches the Rfam family "Bacterial small subunit ribosomal RNA", at positions 28 to 507 of the family's 1533-position model. The record is from RNAcentral.
GAUGAACGCUGGCGGCGUGCCUAAUACAUGCAAGUCGAGCGAACAGACGAGGAGCUUGCUCCUCUGACGUUAGCGGCGGACGGGUGAGUAACACGUGGAUAACCUACCUAUAAGACUGGGAUAACUUCGGGAAACCGGAGCUAAUACCGGAUAAUAUAUUGAACCGCAUGGUUCAAUAGUGAAAGACGGUUUUGCUGUCACUUAUAGAUGGAUCCGCGCCGCAUUAGCUAGUUGGUAAGGUAACGGCUUACCAAGGCAACGAUGCGUAGCCGACCUGAGAGGGUGAUAGGCCACACUGGAACUGAGACACGGUCCAGACUCCUACGGGAGGCAGCAGUAGGGAAUCUUCCGCAAUGGGCGAAAGCAUGACGGAGCAACGCCGCGUGAGUGAUGAAGGUCUUCGGAUCGUAAAACUCUGUUAUUAGGGAAGAACAAAUGUGUAAGUAACUAUGCACGUCUUGACGGUACCUAAUCAGAAAGCAACGGCUAACUACAUG